Molecule: transfer RNA, 71 nt
Filed under: Marmota monax (woodchuck)
Lineage: Eukaryota; Metazoa; Chordata; Mammalia; Rodentia; Sciuridae
Description: tRNA.Thr
Source: RNAcentral
GUGGCUGUAGCUCAGUGGCAGAGCACUUGCCUAGUACCUGUGAGAAACUGGGUUUGAUCCUCAGCACCACA